RNAcentral lists this transfer RNA (70 nucleotides) under Dipodomys ordii (Ord's kangaroo rat). It matches the Rfam family "tRNA". From Rfam's summary of the family: Transfer RNA (tRNA) molecules are approximately 80 nucleotides in length. Their secondary structure includes four short double-helical elements and three loops (D, anti-codon, and T loops). Lineage: Eukaryota; Metazoa; Chordata; Mammalia; Rodentia; Heteromyidae. The record is from Rfam by way of RNAcentral.
GGGAAGGUGGUUCAGUGGUAGAGUGCUUGCCUUGCAUGCAUGAGGCCCUGGGUUCGAUUCCUCAGCUCCA